UCUUUGGAGCAUGGAAUGGUAAUCCAUCGUCUGUCUGUAGCGCAAUUCAUCCAUUCACCUACUGAAGGGUAUCUUCAUUGCUUCCCAAAACAUCCCCUUGGUUGCUACUCUAAACAUCUGGGCAGGUUGUUUUCAACUCCUUUGGGUAAACACCAAAGAGCACAAUCGCUGGACUGCAUGUGUUCAAGGGGCUCGCUGAUGAAUGUUCUGGAGUAGCCCUGACCUUGCUUAACAUGAGAUGUUCCUGUGAAGUUCCUUAAGGACACCAUGGUCUGCUCAUCUUUCUACUUCCAGAUCUGGAAUAGUUGAGACCAAACACUUCUUCACAGGCUUCCUGUUGCCAUCAGAACCGACACAUCCUGCAGAGGCUUCCGGCUCAUGGAUCAAGCGUGUGCAACAGGGGAGUCAAGUUGCAUCGAGUGCUUCCCAGAGGAGUUCUUUCUUCCUCCCUUUUUCUUCCCCUGCCGGUUUCCUUCUUGUCCCUUAUCUCUGCACCCUUCCCCACUGGCCCCAAAUCCUCAGACUUCCUCUGUAGAUGCCAAGUGAUGAUUUCAGAGACUGUGAGUCCAAGGGCCUCUAUUUGGGCAGGACCCUUAUGGGUCUGCUUCAGC
This is a long non-coding RNA of Herpailurus yagouaroundi (jaguarundi), 611 nucleotides long. RefSeq lists it as uncharacterized. NCBI's taxonomy places the organism in Eukaryota, Metazoa, Chordata, Mammalia, Carnivora, Felidae. The record is from RefSeq and is a predicted model, not a curated record. The transcript has 3 exons.